This 491-nucleotide ribosomal RNA is filed under the name uncultured bacterium. RNAcentral describes it as "partial 16S ribosomal RNA". It matches the Rfam family "Bacterial small subunit ribosomal RNA", at positions 29 to 507 of the family's 1533-position model. The record is from RNAcentral.
AGUGAACGCUGGCGGUAGGCCUAACACAUGCAAGUCGAACGGCAGCACAGUAAGAGCUUGCUCUUACGGGUGGCGAGUGGCGGACGGGUGAGGAAUACAUCGGAAUCUACUUUUUCGUGGGGGAUAACGUAGGGAAACUUACGCUAAUACCGCAUACGACCUACGGGUGAAAGCAGGGGAUCUUCGGACCUUGCGCGAUUGAAUGAGCCGAUGUCGGAUUAGCUAGUUGGCGGGGUAAAGGCCCACCAAGGCGACGAUCCGUAGCUGGUCUGAGAGGAUGAUCAGCCACAUUGGAACUGAGACACGGUCCAGACUCCUACGGGAGGCAGCAGUGGGGAAUAUUGGACAAUGGGCGCAAGCCUGAUCCAGCCAUACCGCGUGGGUGAAGAAGGCCUUCGGGUUGUAAAGCCCUUUUGUUGGGAAAGAAAAGCAGCAGGUUAAUACCCCGCUGUUCUGACGGUACCCAAGAAUAAGCACCGGCUAACUUCGUG